RNAcentral lists this unclassified non-coding RNA (871 nucleotides) under Entoloma paludicola. RNAcentral's name for it is "sequence contains ITS1, 5.8S rRNA gene and ITS2". The stretch from base 235 to 388 matches the Rfam family "5.8S ribosomal RNA". The record is from RNAcentral. Lineage: Eukaryota; Fungi; Basidiomycota; Agaricomycetes; Agaricales; Entolomataceae.
UUGAAUAAAACUUGGUUGGGUUGUUGCUGGCUCUCAGGAGCAUGUGCACGCUCACUCCAUUUUUUCACCACCUGUGCACACACUGUAGGCUUGAAUGAACUUUUCGAGGAAACUCGGUUUGAGAACUGCCAGACGCUGUUCUUGCAAUUCAGGUCUAUGUUUUAAACAUAUAUACUCCAUGACAAGUUAUAGAAUGUUAAUCAUGGGCCUUCUGUGCCUAUAAAAACUUAAUACAACUUUCAACAACGGAUCUCUUGGCUCUCGCAUCGAUGAAGAACGCAGCGAAAUGCGAUAAGUAAUGUGAAUUGCAGAAUUCAGUGAAUCAUCGAAUCUUUGAACGCACCUUGCGCUCCUUGGUAUUCCGAGGAGCAUGCCUGUUUGAGUGUCAUGAAAUUCUCAACCUUUCUGGCUUUUGUUAGCUGGCCAGGCUUGGAUCGUGGGAGUUGCUGGCUUAUUAGAAAUCAGCUCUUCUUAAACGCAUUAGCAAAAUUCUUGGCUGAACAUCUUUGGUAUGAUAAUUAUCUAUACUAUUGAGACACAGCCUGUUCCACUUUGUUCGGAUUUAGGCUCCUCUUGGAUAACAUCCAAGUGUUCGAUUCAACCGCUCUGAAGCAUCAGCUUAGGCACAGAUGUUAACUCGUCUGAUGGUGUUACAUACUUCAGGUUGACGAAGCGAGGCGUUCUUCGGAGCGCUCACGAGAGCAAGCACUGUAUCAAUCUGUUUUAGGAUUGUUUGUGCACUGUCAUAUUCCUGUACCUACCCUAGCUACUAUGUGGCUUUGAAGGGUCUGGUCAAACCAUGACCUGAACAUAUCCUUAGUGGGAGGAUCUUGCUUCUAACAUUGUUCCUAGGAACAAACAUUUUGACAAU